RNAcentral lists this ribosomal RNA (465 nucleotides) under uncultured bacterium. RNAcentral's name for it is "bacterial SSU rRNA". It matches the Rfam family "Bacterial small subunit ribosomal RNA", at positions 330 to 792 of the family's 1533-position model. The record is from RNAcentral.
UCCAGACUCCUACGGGAGGCAGCAGUGAGGAAUAUUGGUCAAUGGGCGGAAGCCUGAACCAGCCAAGUCGCGUGAGGGAAUAAGGCCCUACGGGUCGUAAACCUCUUUUGCCGGGGAGCAAGGGCGGGGACGUGUCCCGGCCCGGAGAGUACCCGGAGAAAAAGCAUCGGCUAACUCCGUGCCAGCAGCCGCGGUAAUACGGAGGAUGCGAGCGUUAUCCGGAUUUAUUGGGUUUAAAGGGUGCGUAGGCGGGCUUUUAAGUCAGCGGUAAAAAUUCGGGGCUCAACCCCGUCCGGCCGUUGAAACUGGGGGCCUUGAGUGGGCGAGAAGAAGGCGGAAUGCGUGGUGUAGCGGUGAAAUGCAUAGAUAUCAGGAGGAACAUCGGUGGCGUAAGCGCUUUACUGGGCCGUAAUUGACGCUGAGGAACGAAAGCCAGGGUAGCAAAUGGGAUUAGAUACCCCAGUA